UUGAAAUGUUCUACUCCUUUUCAAUAUAACAUUGUUUUUUGAGUUUGUAUUUGUAAUGUGACCACACUUGAAUGUUGAUUAGGUCACUGAAUGAAAAGACAAAAAUACUUAGUGACUUCUAAAUUUUAUUAUAAUUUUNUGUAUUUGUAAUGUGACCACACUUGAAUGUUGAUUAGGUCACUGAAUGAAGAGACAAAAAUACUUAGUGACUUCUAAAUUUUAUUAUAAUUUUUAAUUUUUAAUUUUUAUAAUUUUAAAAGUGAAAUUGUUAGACCGCACAAACCGCAUAAACCACACCGCACCGCACCGCAU
RNAcentral lists this long non-coding RNA (312 nucleotides) under Daucus carota (carrot). RNAcentral describes it as "long non-coding RNA (DCAR_LNC002124)". The record is from RNAcentral. Lineage: Eukaryota; Viridiplantae; Streptophyta; Magnoliopsida; Apiales; Apiaceae.